UUUAUUCAAUAAAUUAUUCAAUUAUCAAAAUCGUUCAAAUUUACAUAAUUUAGACCUUUUUUUUAAAAGGCAAUUAAAGAGUUUCAUUACUAAUAAAACGUGUACAAAAAAUCUAUCUACCUUUAAUGGUAGGAGCGUCAAAACCAGACAAAGCUUAAGACUUCCUGCCAUGGUUUAUGCCGCACGAAACAAAAGGAAACAUGAGAAUCAAAAAAUCAGGUUGCCUAAGGGAUGAAACAAUCAUUUUUAGGCAUUUCUAGGCUCCCUAUAAAUGACAAAAAGAUUCCAAAAAGCACCUUAGAGUCAUCCCUCCACAUUUCUGUUCCAUUUGUCUAUACAGUUCGCUUAACUCAGCUUGACAUUUGUAUCCCAAUCUGAGUAGCAAUAAAACAAAAACAGGCGCAAUCCUCAAAAAACAAUGGGUUGCAGAUGCACAAACCAAACAGCAUCCGACAUUUGUGCAAUCCAUAAAGAGCAUUGACCAAAACAAAGGAUUUAAACUCAGUAUACCGCUUGGGAUCAGCAUCAUCACUUCAUAAAACGAAUGUCAAUCACCAUACAAUCCAGAAAAACUUCCCUUGUCCAUCCAAAAAUCUGUCUGUUUUACUCCUUGCCCCAGCUCUUCCCACAAUAAUACUCAUAAGUAGUGGUUGACAACGCCACCAUCUCCUUGAUCAUAGACCGAGUUAACCCUAUGCCCAUUGCAAAGGUCCCGACCUUGAGGACCCUUCCUUGGUCUAUCGAGUUAUCGAACUGAAGUUGAGCAGAAGGCUUGUCAUAGCAUACCAAGCCAAACAAGCAGGGACCUUAUCAAUUAAAACUGUUAAGCUUGCAUGAACAUAAUGGAUAGUAAGUCACCAUUUUUAUGGUAAUAAAGAAGCCAAAUCAUGUAGACAGGUCUUCAUCAUGAAAUGUGCAGUGAAAAAGCCAAGGUGAAAACUACCGCCUAUGGAGCACCUACAAAUCAAAAGAUAAAAGGAAAAACGGAUCCGUAACCCUAGUAUCAUCGUAUCAAACAGGAUUCAUGCCUCAGCUCCUCAAAAACAACUUCCUAGUUAACAAAAAAAAGAAAUUAGCAAGCCUCAAGGUACAAACUUGUUUGAGCAUCAUUGAUCAAACUAAAACUCAAGACCAGAAGCAUAACACGACCUUCACUAAUCAUCAAUUUUCAACCCAAAAUAGGAUCUUCAUCAACAAUCAAACCAAUAGCAAAGCAAAGAACAAGAGGACUCGUGACGGGUUGCUCAUGUUAUGAAUUUUGAAAUGCAAAGACAUACCAUCGCAACCCAAACAUUCCUCCCUUUCAUUCCAACCUCAUGGUUCGUCAGCCACCCAAUCAGUAGAACACAAUCAAACUUUUGGACCAAUGAGUACACGCGAAGACUUUCGUCAAGCCUUCACACAAAUGGGCAUACCAGAAAACAAGCUUUACCCUCUUUCCACUUUGAUCAUAUCCACCAUGUCAUCC
This 1468-nucleotide long non-coding RNA is filed under the name Theobroma cacao (cacao). RNAcentral's name for it is "long non-coding RNA (TCAC_LNC002535)". The record is from RNAcentral. Lineage: Eukaryota; Viridiplantae; Streptophyta; Magnoliopsida; Malvales; Malvaceae.